Molecule: ribosomal RNA, 465 nt
Filed under: uncultured bacterium
Lineage: Bacteria
Description: bacterial SSU rRNA
Rfam family: Bacterial small subunit ribosomal RNA
Source: RNAcentral
CGGCGUGCUUGACACAUGCAAGUCGAACGGAGCCAAGGAGUGCUUGCAUUCCUGAAGCUUAGUGGCGGACGGGUGAGUAACGCGUGGGUAACCUGCCUCACACAGGGGGAUAACAGUUGGAAACGACUGUAAUACCGCAUAAGCGCACAGUACCGCAUGGUACAGUGUGAAAAACUCCGGUGGUGUGAGAUGGACCCGCGUCUGAUUAGCUAGUUGGUGAGGUAACGGCCCACCAAGGCGACGAUCAGUAGCCGGCCUGAGAGGGUGUACGGCCACAUUGGGACUGAGACACGGCCCAAACUCCUACGGGAGGCAGCAGUGGGGAAUAUUGGACAAUGGGGGAAACCCUGAUCCAGCGACGCCGCGUGAGUGAUGAAGUAUCUCGGUAUGUAAAGCUCUAUCAGCAGGGAAGAUAAUGACGGUACCUGACUAAGAAGCACCGGCUAAAUACGUGCCAGCCGCUGC